This 257-nucleotide unclassified non-coding RNA is filed under the name Hevea brasiliensis (rubber tree). The record is from RNAcentral. Lineage: Eukaryota; Viridiplantae; Streptophyta; Magnoliopsida; Malpighiales; Euphorbiaceae.
UAGCAAAGGGCCUAAGGUGUGCCAUGGCCUUCCCUAGCUUGGUAAAAAAAAGUUUUUUAACCCAUAUAUUUUUUAUAAAAAAAAAUUAUAAAUAUAUGUAAAUACAUAUUAAAUUUCAUUUUGGCCUAAAAUGAAUUGUUGGCUCUGUCGUUGGUUAUGCCUCUUGCAUUCGAGUUGCUAAUAGCAGAGUAUGUAUUUUAUUUUGCUUUCACCAUUUAACAUUAGUUUUUGUAGAUUUACUUGCAACCAACAAAUGA